AAAACAUGCGGGCCACAUCAAUAUGGAUGGACUGGUGAAGAGCCAAUAACAUGUUCUUUAAGGGCUGCCUGAGAGUGGAGAGGCAGGAGCUGAGGACGGCAUUCCGCCAUUAUUGCGGUGGCGGCUCAAGUCUGAGAGUCUCUGGUCAGGUAAAUUAUCUGCCCGAUCAUCUUGCAGAGGUCCCGGUGGUACAGAGGCACUCCGUCUGUUUCUGUCUCCGGAGUCCUGCUAUAAAGCCACAUUUUGGGGAACCCUGGCCUUUUUAAUGCAUCAGACGUCUCGAAGCUCUUCCAUCCAACAUUGCGCAUUGUGUUUGCUACCACUAUUGGACCUUAUUUGUGAUUGGACAUUAUAUGGCUCUUCAAUAAGUUUUCAUGCCUUUGUUUUUGAAGAACAAUAAUGCCUCCAGUUUCUUUAGAAUCGGGCCGCACCGUCGGCUAAAUGGAGCACCUUGACGAAAUCGAAAUGUUCUCCCUGUCAAUGUCAAAAUGUUAUUUAAAAAAUACUUGUAGGUGUGAUUGUUCCAUA
Molecule: long non-coding RNA, 528 nt
Organism: Hyla sarda
Lineage: Eukaryota; Metazoa; Chordata; Amphibia; Anura; Hylidae
Exons: 3
Source: RefSeq, a predicted model, not a curated record